This is a long non-coding RNA of Humulus lupulus (European hop), 217 nucleotides long. RefSeq lists it as uncharacterized. Lineage: Eukaryota; Viridiplantae; Streptophyta; Magnoliopsida; Rosales; Cannabaceae. The transcript is spliced from 3 exons. The record is from RefSeq and is a predicted model, not a curated record.
AGGUAUUGGGACACACAAUUUUGGCUUCAAUACUCUGGACUAAUGCCAAGUCGGUUGAUUUGAGCAGCAAAGCUGCAAUAACAUCGUUUUACAUGUUCAUAUGGAAGGAUGCUGUCUCUGAUCUUAUCAAGGCUCAUGAAGUUUCUCCUGAUGAUGAAACAAUUGCAGAGGUCUUGAGGGAUGCUGAGGAAAGAUUACUGAAGGAGGGAGGUGCACC